GAUUCAUUGGUUUUUAUCAGUCAACCCAUCAGAAGCUGAUAAAAACACGUGAGUUUUCAAUGGCUUCAUUAACGUAUUGUUUCGCAGUGCUUGACACCGAAGCAAUACGUUUUUUU
Molecule: regulatory RNA element, 116 nt
Organism: Alkalibacterium sp. AK22
Lineage: Bacteria; Bacillati; Bacillota; Bacilli; Lactobacillales; Carnobacteriaceae
Rfam family: 23S methyl RNA motif
Source: Rfam